Molecule: long non-coding RNA, 201 nt
Filed under: Elaeis guineensis (African oil palm)
Lineage: Eukaryota; Viridiplantae; Streptophyta; Magnoliopsida; Arecales; Arecaceae
Description: long non-coding RNA (EGUI_LNC077561)
Source: RNAcentral
GUGGUUGAUGGAGCGACAGGAGAUCGCGAUAAGGACGGUCUAAGUUUAGGAGGGACUUGAGCAAAACCAGAUGUUACCGAUGUAUGAAGUUGGGGCAUCUAGUCAAAGAUUGCCCUCAACUGAAAAAUCGGACGGUGGCUGCUGUGGUGACGGCUGACAGCGAUUCAGAAGGAGAUGUCUUGGAGAUAUCUGACGAAGUAU